GACGAACGCUGGCGGCGUGCUUAACACAUGCAAGUCGAACGGAAAGGCGCUGCUUUUGUUGGUUUCUCGAUUGGCGAGCGCGGGAGUAUCACAUGAGUAACCUGCCCUUGACUUUCUGGUAACUUCAGGGAACUGGGGCUAAUACAGGAUAUGAUCUCUUGCUGCGUGUGGUUGGUUGGUAAGUUUCGGCUGUUGUGGCUGGACUCGCGGCUUAUCAGCUUGUUGGUGUGGUAGUUGCUUACCAAGGCUUUGACGGGUAGCCGGCCUGAGAGGGUGACCGGAGACAAUGGGCCUGAGAGACGGACCAGAAUCCUACGGGACGCAGUAGUGGGGAAUCUUGCAGAACGGGCGGAAGUCUGAUACAGAAACGCCGCGUGCGUGAUGACGGCCUUUGGGUGGAAAACCGAUUUGGCAUGUGACGAAGAGUGCGUGACGGUAAUGGGUAAAGAAGCAACGGCUAACUACGUG
Molecule: ribosomal RNA, 468 nt
Filed under: uncultured bacterium
Lineage: Bacteria
Description: partial 16S ribosomal RNA
Rfam family: Bacterial small subunit ribosomal RNA
Source: RNAcentral